Molecule: long non-coding RNA, 840 nt
Filed under: Homo sapiens (human)
Lineage: Eukaryota; Metazoa; Chordata; Mammalia; Primates; Hominidae
Description: HSALNT0335661
Source: RNAcentral
AAGCUUUUCAUUUUUUCUAUGAACAUAUGUUUUAGAAAUUUAUAUGACAAAAUAUAUGACGUGAUAUAUUUCUGUUUUAUUCUUAAGUAAUAUUGGACUAUUGGGCUAUAUUAUCAUAAGUUUUUCUUUUCUUUUCUUUUCUUUUUUUUUAUUUUUGAGACAGUUUCACUCUUUUUGCCCAGGCUGGAGUGCAAUGGCACAAUCUGGGCUCACUGCACCCUCCGCCUCCUUCCUGCCUCAGGCUGCCAUGUAGCUGGGAUUAUAGGUACCUGCCACCACGCCCAGCUAAUCUUUGGUAUUUUUCAUAGAGACAGGGUUUCACAGUGUUGGCCAGGAUGAUCUCGAUCUCUUGACCUCGUGAUCCACCUGCCCUAGUCUCCCUAAGUGCUGGGAUUACAGGCGUGAGCCACCGUGCCCGGCCUAUCAUAAGUUUUUCGAAAACGGUUGUUUGUGGCUAAAUAAUAGUUCUGACAUAUUAAUACUAGCUUUUCACCAUUAUUAUAUGUAUGAUAAAUAGUAACAAAACAAAAUGACUGAAUUUUCCUGUGCUUGUAUUGUUAUCAUUAUUGUGGAUUUAAUCGUUUGCCAAAAAUUUUCAAAUUAUUGCUGGCUCGUAAGGAAAUUAAGAGAACUCUUGAUAGUGUAUAUUUAUUUUGUGACUAGCCACUUUAAUUAGUGAUCCUAAUGAUUUUUUAUUUUCCAGUUGAUUCUCCCGUGCCUCGGGAAAAAAUAAAAUAAUUUACAAAGAAUAAUGUUUUAUAGACUUCUUUCAAUUCCUAUGCUUCUUUUAUGUUUUUCAUCUUAUUGAGCUGGUCAAAGUUUAUGAGAUAUUGUAAUAAG